ACACAUAAUGCGUGUGAACACGGCCUUUCGAAGAAACGCUCCCCUUGUGCCCCCAGCGUUCCCAUUCCUGUUCCCCACAGAGUCCGAGGAAGGCCGUGUGCCGCUAAACUUAGAGGGGGUCCAUUCGCCUGCCGACAAAUUAGCCGGAAGAUUAGCGAGAGCCAGAGCGAGAACGAUGAACUCACUCUCUAGCGAGAGAGAUCGAUACGAUCGAUACAAGAGCAAGAGAGGGAGAGAUGGGAUUUGUUUAAUGCUGAGAGUUGCAAGAGUAGCAGUGCAUCACAACAGCCACAGCGUCGAUAAAUAAGUACGCGCAAUCAGAGGAGCAUCGUUUUUUUGAUUUUUUUCGCCCAGUUGGGGGAUUUCAGAAUAAACCUAAACCCGGUCGUAUCGCAUUUGCCAUGGUCAUUAGUAACCGGAUUGCGGAAACGAUGCCAUUGCUCAAUUGUGUUCUGUCUUGGUUUCCCAUCGCCGCCGAUGCGAUCAUGAUGGUUAUCUGACUGGGUUGGAUAUUUUGGGCCGUCUUGCUCCAGAGCAGUCGUCAGUGGUCUAUCAAUUGACUUCAGCUGUGUGCAAUGGGAUCGCAACCUCGGUGACGCUGGAGGGGAUCCGUCCUGGUCCGAGCGUGAAGCAGAUGUAUUCACCAGAAAUCACUCGUGUUCAACUCAACCUGGAUUCACAAGCUGUUCUUGGACUUAUCAGCAGAAGAUUUAGCAAUUAUUGCAAGGUUACGAGGUUGGAUAGGUGGGCCACGGGAAGUAGCAAUGAAGAGAUGCUGAAUGCAUUCUCAGUGAAACGCUUCGUGUGCGUGAUGGAGGUUCGACUUGUCGCCGUUUCGCCAUGUCAAGUCUGUCAGUCCUUUUUGUUUUUUUGCUUUCUUCCAUUCGUCCGACUAUUGUGGGAAUGGCUUCCAUGAUGUUGUCGUUUA
Physcomitrium patens is the source of this 928-nucleotide non-coding RNA. NCBI's taxonomy places the organism in Eukaryota, Viridiplantae, Streptophyta, Bryopsida, Funariales, Funariaceae. The record is from RefSeq and is a predicted model, not a curated record.